This 497-nucleotide ribosomal RNA is filed under the name uncultured bacterium. Its description in RNAcentral is "partial 16S ribosomal RNA". It matches the Rfam family "Bacterial small subunit ribosomal RNA", at positions 28 to 507 of the family's 1533-position model. The record is from RNAcentral.
GAUGAACGCUGGCGGCGUGCCUAAUACAUGCAAGUCGAGCGAACAGACGAGGAGCUUGCUCCUCUGACGUUAGCGGCGGACGUGUGAGUAACACGUGGAUAACCUACCUAUAAGACUGGGAUAACUUCGGGAAACCGGAGCUAAUACCGGAUAAUAUAUUGAACCGCAUGGUUCAAUAGUGAAAGACGGUUUUGCUGUCACUUAUAUAUGGAUCCUCGCCUCAUUAGCUAGUUGGUAAGGUAACGGCUUACCAAGGCGACGAUGCGUAGCCGACCUGAGAGGGUGAUCGGACACACUGGAACUGAGACACGGUCCAGACUCCUACGGGAGGCAGCAGUAGGGAAUCUUCCGCAAUGGGCGAAAGCAGGAAGGAGCAACGCCGCGUGAGUGAUGAAGGUCUUCGGAUCGUAAAACUCUGUUAUUAGGGAAGAAAAAAUGUGUAAGUAACUAUGCACGUAUUGACGGUACCUAAUCAGAAAGCCACGGCUAACUACGUG